UACAGAGGUGCCAAGCGUUAGGCGGAAUCACUGGGCUUAAAGCGCGUGUAGGUGGACGGGUAAGUAUCUUGUGAAAUCCCACGGCUCAACCGUGGAACUGCUGGAUAUACUGCUUGUCUUGAGGCACUUAGGGGCAGCUGGAACAAAUGGUGGAGCGGUGAAAUGCGUUGAUAUCGGAAGGAACGCCGGUGGCGAAAGCGGUCCGCUGGCCCUCUACUGACGCUGAGGCGCGAAAGCCAGGGGAGCAAACGGG
RNAcentral lists this ribosomal RNA (253 nucleotides) under uncultured bacterium. RNAcentral describes it as "partial 16S ribosomal RNA". It matches the Rfam family "Bacterial small subunit ribosomal RNA", at positions 524 to 776 of the family's 1533-position model. The record is from RNAcentral.